UUUUUUUUUUUUUUUUUUUUUUUUUGUGUAUUUCUUCCUGCCACUUUUCUGGACUGAUUGUCCAGUGUUCUGGAGCUAGUUUCUUUUGUCCCUGUCCCAGUAAUUUGAAGUGGGAACAUGUAAAGAAUGUGCUCAGUGGACUCCAGUGCUUAGCGGAGAGACCGAGAGGUCGGUGUGUUACUUAUUUCUAGGUUAAUUUAUCCAAAGUGGCAGGAAAUUAAGGUGCUGUCUGUCCCGAUGUCUCUGAAGGACUUGUUUCAUGAAAGCAGUGUGUCUUUACAGUCUGUUUCAGAACUUGUUCCUGAUGGUUAUAUGUCAAAGUGUAGGCAUUGUCAGAAAGCAGCCUGCAGCUCUCACUGAUGGGUGUCCUAACAGGCACCAGUUCUUCGUAUCUCCAGUCUCCUCUAAAUCACACCUCUUGGUUUCUCAGUAGUUGUAGUGAAUCUUCAGGGCACCUUACUAUCUUCUGGAUGGAUGAAACAUAAUCUGUUUGCAUCCUGUUUUCAUUUGCCCCUUGUGCCUUAGUUGACUCUAUAGAAUAGAUUUUCAUUUAAAACAGCUUAAGUGAUGAAUUGGCUUCUGUGGCUGCAUUCUUAUUCAUUAUGAUGGGUUUUGAUUCUUAGUUUGUAAUUACAGUACAAGAGUAGGAGAGGUGGCACAGUGGUUAAGAGCAUAUAUUCUUGCAGAGGACCUGGGUUUAAUUCCCGGUAUCCACAUGGUGGCCAUCCACACGUAACUCCAUUUCUAGGAUUCGGACCCGAAGGCACCAAACACUCACGUGUUACACGCAAAGCACUCACAUAAAAUGAAUAAAUCU
RNAcentral lists this long non-coding RNA (817 nucleotides) under Mus musculus (house mouse). RNAcentral describes it as "long non-coding RNA chr4:130709673-130710490". The record is from RNAcentral. Lineage: Eukaryota; Metazoa; Chordata; Mammalia; Rodentia; Muridae.